This 467-nucleotide ribosomal RNA is filed under the name uncultured bacterium. Its description in RNAcentral is "partial 16S ribosomal RNA". It matches the Rfam family "Bacterial small subunit ribosomal RNA", at positions 34 to 506 of the family's 1533-position model. The record is from RNAcentral.
UCCUCCCUCUGGCGGCGUGCUUAACACAUGCAAGUCGAACGGAAAGGCCCUGCUUUUGUGGGGUGCUCGAGUGGCGAACGGGUGAGUAACACGUGAGUAACCUGCCAUUGACUUUGGGAUAACUUCGGGAAACUGGGGCUAAUACCGGAUAGGAGCUCCUGCUGCAUGGUGGGGGUUGGAAAGUUUCGGCGGUUGGGGAUGGACUCGCGGCUUAUCAGCUUGUUGGUGGGGUAGUGGCUUACCAAGGCUUUGACGGGUAGCCGGCCUGAGAGGGUGACCGGCCACAUUGGGACGGAGAGACGGCCGAGACUCCUACGGGCGGCAGCAGUGGGGAGUAUUGCACAAUGGGCGGAAGACUGAUGCAGCAACGCCGCGUGCGGGAUGACGGCAUUCGGGUUGUAAACCGCUUUCGCCUGUGACGAAGCGUGAGUGACGGUAAUGGGUAAAGAAGCACCGGCUAACUACGU